Molecule: ribosomal RNA, 497 nt
Filed under: uncultured bacterium
Lineage: Bacteria
Description: partial 16S ribosomal RNA
Rfam family: Bacterial small subunit ribosomal RNA
Source: RNAcentral
GAUGAACGCUGGCGGCGUGCCUAAUACAUGCAAGUCGAGCGAACGGACGAGAAGCUUGCUUCUCUGAUGUUAGCGGCGGACGGGUGAGUAACACGUGGAUAACAUACCUAUAAGAAUGGGAUAAAUUCGGGAAACCGGAGCUAAUACCGGAUAAUAUUUUGAACCGCAAGGUUCAAAAGUGAAAGACGGUCUUGCAUUCACUUAUAGAUGGAUCCGCGCUGCAUUAGCUAGUUGGUAAGGUAACGGCUUACCAAGGCAACGAUGCAUAGCCGACCUGAGAGGAUGAUCGGCCACACUGGAACUGAGACACGGUCCAGACUCCUACGGGAGGCAGCAGUAGGGAAUCUUCCACAAUGGGCGAAAGCCUGACGAAGCAACGCCGCGUGAGUGAUGAAGGUCUUCGGGUCGUAAAACUCUGUUGUUAGGGAAGAACAUAUGUAUAAUUAACUGUUCACAUCUUGACGGUACCUAAACAGAAAGCCACGGCUAACUACGUG